Molecule: long non-coding RNA, 2013 nt
Organism: Pezoporus occidentalis (night parrot)
Lineage: Eukaryota; Metazoa; Chordata; Aves; Psittaciformes; Psittacidae
Exons: 5
Source: RefSeq, a predicted model, not a curated record
AGGAGGGGAAUGGAGUCACAGAUACGUUAUGCAGUCUUACACUUUAAGGCGGGGGGAAAGAGAAGAACUGACAUAGCAAAUGUGAGAAAUCAAAACUUGGGUGUUUAUUUAGGGAGACUGUAAAGGGACCAUCACUUGGGUCUGGGGAGAGGAGAGGAUUUUGUGGGAAACAAAAGCACUGUCAGCUUUUGUGUCUAUUCUAGAUGUUCAUAGCAUUAGGCAGAGCUUACAGCUCUGCCUUUUAGUAAUUUUAUGGACCUGAUAUUUUAAGGCACCAAAGGGAACGAUGAUGUUCAUCUGACAUGUGAGAUUAUAAAAUGGUGAAGUGUUUGUUUGCAUGGCCUGGAUUGGUAAUGUCUCCUUUAGAGAGUUUACUGGUUUAUUACCCACUUGCUGGUGGAACAUACCGGAAACACAGAAACAGCAGAAUUAUUCUCAUUUAUUUUGUUGCAGUUAGGUUUUUAUGAAGACAGGUGUACGGAUGGAAAUAUAGAUAUGCCUGAGCAACUGCAAAUACAAGACAAAAAUACAGGAUUUGCUUGCCAAAGCUGAAUUCCUGCCAGUCCUUGAGUCCUUUCCUGGGACAUUGUUUGCUGAAGAAUACCAGUGAUUUGCUUUAAUGGAGUAUAAAGAGCAUGUACUGGUGUGAGGAAGACCUGUGGGCAGAGAGGAAUAGAUGGACCACACAGGCAACAUGACAGUUCAUCAUUGUGCAAGGUGGAUUUUUGCACCUGUGAAGGAUGCUGUGCCAGGCUUCAGAUUGUUCCUCUUCUAACCUUCUCCGAUGUUAGUCUCCUCCAUCACGGUCUCCUUUCUCAGCACACAGCUUUGAAAAGUAAAUUCUCCACGAUGUCAGAUCACCCGAUGGUGAAGCAGGUUUGAAGCCCCAGCUCUCAAAGCAACUUCCAGCGGACCAUGACAGGAAUCAAGGGGCCCUGCAUUGAUCGCAUUGUGAACGCCAGGAACCUGGGCUGUGCCCAGAGUGGCGGGAGCAGCAGGAGCUGUGCCCAGCUGGGGAGGUGCCAUUGCUUGAUCCCUCUCCUGGUUCCUGGCCUCAGCAUCUGCAGAAACAGAGGGUUUUUCCCCUGUCGGAUAUUCCCAUUGCACAGCAUUGGGAAUCUCUUGGUUUUACUGGUGUUCUGCUGCUGUGCAGCCCUCCCUGCCUCUUGGCAUGCCAGGCUUUCCCCACGCACUCCCUCUGGGAGCAAGCUACCUGGCCAGGGCGAGACAAAGGUGAAACAAGAUCACAAACAGGCAAUAUUGUGCAUGUAGAGCUAAACCUUCUGCUGCCACCGAGGAGCCCUCGGCAGCACGGUGCCCUUUGUUCAUGCUCCCGGCCCCGCAGAGCCUGCCUGCCUCCCCUCUCCUAGGCAAGCCUUUGCAUUUUUAUGCCGGUGCCUUUCUUUGCAUUGACCAGAGUUUAUCACAUAUCUCUGGUUGGGAUCCUGCCUGGCUUAGCAUAAGACAAAAAUGGGGAGGAAGAGGAGAGAAAAAAAAAGAGAGAAAGAAAUCAGCUGAAUAAUAGGAGGGAUUUGUAGCAGCUGAGGAUUUGCAUUCAAAUGUGCGCCAGCCUCCUCUGAGCUUGAGUUUUAUCAUGUCUUUACAGCCAACAGCUUGUUUAUGAAUAAAAAAUGUGGCAUGAAACCAGAGGAGUGAGUUGUCUUUGUUUUGUCAAGUGUGCGGAGACAAAAUGCUCGCUGCUCACAAGUCUUCACUUCAUACAAGUCUGCCGGGACGGGGGCAGCUGGCCGCGGGCUGCUACCUGCGCGUUGCCAUGGCCGGGGGCACCUCCUGUACCCCUCCAUAUGCAUGAGUAGGGACCCCGCCGGGCGCCUAUGCAAAGCAGCCCCUGCUUUGACAGGCAGGCACUUUAUUAACUCAUUAAGCUCAUCUUGUUCCUUUAAACGCGGUAUAAUUACAAAUAAAGCUGUCACACUUUGUUUGCAGUUAUAGCAUUUAGCUAAGUGCCGCUACGACCCGGGAUUCAAGGAGGAAAGGGAGGUUAGGAGCCGG